This 1328-nucleotide ribosomal RNA is filed under the name metagenome. RNAcentral's name for it is "bacterial LSU rRNA". It matches the Rfam family "Bacterial large subunit ribosomal RNA", at positions 1564 to 2901 of the family's 2925-position model. The record is from RNAcentral.
UGAGUGCGAGCUGCUACGGCAGCGAAGUUGGUGACGUCAAGCUUCCAAGAAAAGCCCUAUACCCGUUAAGGCAUCAUGGCCUGUACCCGAAACCGACACAGGUGGGGUGGUAGAGAAUACCGAGGGGCGCGAGGUAACUCUCUCUAAGGAACUCGGCAAAAUGGCCCCGUAACUUCGGGAGAAGGGGUGCCACCGCAAGGUGGUCGCAGUGAAGAGGCCCAGGCGACUGUUUACCAAAAACACAGGUCUCCGCUAAGUCGCAAGACGAUGUAUGGGGGCUGACGCCUGCCCAGUGCCGGAAGGUUGAGGAAGCUGGUCAGCGCAAGCGAAGCUGGCGACUGAAGCCCCGGUGAACGGCGGCCGUAACUAUAACGGUCCUAAGGUAGCGAAAUUCCUUGUUGGGUAAGUUCCGACCCGCACGAAAGGCGUAACGAUCUGGGCGCUGUCUCGGAGAGAGGCUCGGCGAAAUAGAAUUGUCUGUGAAGAUGCGGACUACGUGCACCCGGACAGAAAGACCCUAUGAAGCUUUACUGUAGCUUGGUAUUGUGCCCGGGCUCUGAAUGCGCAGGAUAGGUGGGAGGCUUUGAUCAUCGGCUUGCGGGUCGAUGUGAGCCAACGGUGAGAUACCACUCUUUCAGAGCUAGGGUUCUAACAGUCACCCGUUAUCCGGGGACUGGACAGUAUCAGGUGGGCAGUUUGACUGGGGCGGUCGCCUCCUAAAAGGUAACGGAGGCGCGCAAAGGUCUGCUCAGGCUGGUUGGAAAUCAGCCGACGAGUGUAAAAGCAGAAGCAGGCUUGACUGUGAGACCUACAAGUCGAACAGGGAGGAAACUCGGCUUUAGUGAUCCGACGGUUCUGCGUGGAAGGGCCGUCGCUCAACGGAUAAAAGUUACUCUAGGAUAACAGGCUGAUCUCCCCCAAGAGUUCACAUCGACGGGGAGGUUUGGCACCUCGAUGUCGGCUCAUCGCAACCUGGGGCUGAAGUCGGUCCCAAGGGUUGGGCUGUUCGCCCAUUAAAGCGGUACGCGAGCUGGGUUCAGAACGUCGUGAGACAGUUCGGUCCAUAUCCGGUGCAUGCGCAGGAAUAUUGAGAGGAGUUCUCCCUAGUACGAGAGGACCGGGAGGAACGCACCUCUGGUGUACCAGUUAUCGUGCCAACGGUAAACGCUGGGUAGCCAUGUGCGGAGAGGAUAACCGCUGAAAGCAUCUAUGUGGGAAGCCCACCUCAAGAUGAGUAUUCCCAUGGCGUUAGCCAGUAAGGUCACGGGAAGAACACCCGUUGAUAGGCUCUAUGUGGAAGCGCAGUAAUGCGUGAAGCAGAGGAGUAC